GAUGAACGCUGGCGGCGUGCCUAAUACAUGCAAGUCGAGCGAACGGACGAGAAGCUUGCUUCUCUGAUGUUAGCGGCGGACGGGUGGGUAACACGUGGAUAACCUACCUAUAAGACUGGGAUAACUUCGGGAAACCGGAGCUAAUACCGGAUAAUAUUUUGAACCGCAUGGUUCAAAAGUGAAAGACGGUCUUGCUGUCACUUAUAGAUGGAUCCGCGCUGCAUUAGCUAGUUGGUAAGGUAACGGCUUACCAAGGCAACGAUGCAUAGCCGACCUGAGAGGGUGAUCGGCCACACUGGAACUGAGACACGGUCCAGACUCCUACGGGAGGCAGCAGUAGGGAAUCUUCCGCAAUGGGCGAAAGCCUGACGGAGCAACGCCGCGUGAGUGAUGAAGGUCUUCGGAUCGUAAAACUCUGUUAUUAGGGAAGAACAUAUGUGUAAGUAACUGUGCACAUCUUGACGGUACCUAAUCAGAAAGCCACGGCUAACUACGUGCCAGCAGCCGCGGUAAUACGUAGGUGGCAAGCGUUAUCCGGAAUUAUUGGGCGUAAAGCGCGCGUAGGCGGUUUUUUAAGUCUGAUGUGAAAGCCCACGGCUCAACCGUGGAGGGUCAUUGGAAACUGGAAAACUUGAGUGCAGAAGAGGAAAGUGGAAUUCCAUGUGUAGCGGUGAAAUGCGCAGAGAUAUGGAGGAACACCAGUGGCGAAGGCGACUUUCUGGUCUGUAACUGACGCUGAUGUGCGAAAGCGUGGGGAUCAAACAGGAUUAGAUACCCUGGUAGUCCACGCCGUAAACGAUGAGUGCUAAGUGUUAGGGGGUUUCCGCCCCUUAGUGCUGCAGCUAACGCAUUAAGCACUCCGCCUGGGGAGUACGACCGCAAGGUUGAAACUCAAAGGAAUUGACGGGGACCCGCACAAGCGGUGGAGCAUGUGGUUUAAUUCGAAGCAACGCGAAGAACCUUACCAAAUCUUGACAUCCUUUGACAACUCUAGAGAUAGAGCUUUCCCCUUCGGGGGACAAAGUGACAGGUGGUGCAUGGUUGUCGUCAGCUCGUGUCGUGAGAUGUUGGGUUAAGUCCCGCAACGAGCGCAACCCUUAAGCUUAGUUGCCAUCAUUAAGUUGGGCACUCUAAGUUGACUGCCGGUGACAAACCGGAGGAAGGUGGGGAUGACGUCAAAUCAUCAUGCCCCUUAUGAUUUGGGCUACACACGUGCUACAAUGGACAAUACAAAGGGCAGCGAAACCGUGAGGUCAAGCAAAUCCCAUAAAGUUGUUCUCAGUUCGGAUUGUAGUCUGCAACUCGACUACAUGAAGCUGGAAUCGCUAGUAAUCGUAGAUCAGCAUGCUACGGUGAAUACGUUCCCGGGUCU
This 1372-nucleotide ribosomal RNA is filed under the name uncultured bacterium. RNAcentral describes it as "bacterial SSU rRNA". It matches the Rfam family "Bacterial small subunit ribosomal RNA", at positions 28 to 1381 of the family's 1533-position model. The record is from RNAcentral.